This 410-nucleotide ribosomal RNA is filed under the name uncultured archaeon. Its description in RNAcentral is "bacterial SSU rRNA". It matches the Rfam family "Archaeal small subunit ribosomal RNA", at positions 471 to 851 of the family's 1478-position model. The record is from RNAcentral.
UAAAACCAGCUCUUCGAAUGGUGGGCAUGUUUAUUGGGCCUAAAGCAUCCGUAGGCGGGCUCGUAAGUCUCCAGUCAAAUCUCACGUCUUAAGCGUGAACUCGCUGGAGGUACUGCAAGCCUUGGGACCGGGAGAGGCAGAGGGUACCAAUCCGGUAGGGGUGAAAUCCAAUAAUCGGAUUGGGACCACCGGUGGCGAAGGCGCUCUGCUAGAACGGAUCCGACGCUGAGGGAUGAAAGCCAGGGUAGCGAGCCGGAUUAGAUAGAAGAAGUCCCGAGGGACUGAUUCCGAAGACCCGGGUAGUCCUGGCCGUAAACGAUGCGGGCUAAGUGUUAGGCUACAUACGAAGUAGCCUAGUGCCGAAGGGAAGCCGCUAAGCCCGCCGCCUGGGGAGUACGAUCGCAAGAUUG